Molecule: ribosomal RNA, 748 nt
Filed under: Acinetobacter calcoaceticus
Lineage: Bacteria; Pseudomonadati; Pseudomonadota; Gammaproteobacteria; Moraxellales; Moraxellaceae
Description: bacterial SSU rRNA
Rfam family: Bacterial small subunit ribosomal RNA
Source: RNAcentral
GGCGUAAGCGCGCGUAGGCGGCUAAUUAAGUCAAAUGUGAAAUCCCCGACCUUAACUUGGGAAUUGCAUUCGAUACUGGUUAGCUAGAGUGCGGGAGAGGAUGGUAGAAUUCCAGGUGUAGCGGUGAAAUGCGUAGAGAUCUGGAGGAAUACCGAUGGCGAAGGCAGCCAUCUGGCCUAACACUGACGCUGAGGUGCGAAAGCAUGGGGAGCAAACAGGAUUAGAUACCCUGGUAGUCCAUGCCGUAAACGAUGUCUACUAGCCGUUGGGGCCUUUGAGGCUUUAGUGGCGCAGCUAACGCGAUAAGUAGACCGCCUGGGGAGUACGGUCGCAAGACUAAAACUCAAAUGAAUUGACGGGGGCCCGCACAAGCGGUGGAGCAUGUGGUUUAAUUCGAUGCAACGCGAAGAACCUUACCUGGCCUUGACAUAGUAAGAACUUUCCAGAGAUGGAUUGGUGCCUUCGGGAACUUACAUACAGGUGCUGCAUGGCUGUCGUCAGCUCGUGUCGUGAGAUGUUGGGUUAAGUCCCGCAACGAGCGCAACCCUUUUCCUUAUUUGCCAGCGAGUAAUGUCGGGAACUUUAAGGAUACUGCCAGUGACAAACUGGAGGAAGGCGGGGACGACGUCAAGUCAUCAUGGCCCUUACGGCCAGGGCUACACACGUGCUACAAUGGUCGGUACAAAGGGUUGCUACCUAGCGAUAGGAUGCUAAUCUCAAAAAGCCGAUCGUAGUCCGGAUUGGAGUC